GUGCGGUAAGUCAAACGGCCAGACUGCGGCUUGCAAACCCGUAUUUACUCGGUUCGACUCCGAGACUGCACUCCA
Molecule: transfer RNA, 75 nt
Filed under: Aureispira sp.
Lineage: Bacteria; Pseudomonadati; Bacteroidota; Saprospiria; Saprospirales; Saprospiraceae
Also listed under: 1 other name
Description: tRNA-Cys
Rfam family: tRNA
About the family: Transfer RNA (tRNA) molecules are approximately 80 nucleotides in length. Their secondary structure includes four short double-helical elements and three loops (D, anti-codon, and T loops).
Source: RNAcentral